GUUUGUGGCUCUCUGGUGGAAAGGGGAGAACCCUGACUUUGGUGGGCAGGCUUUGUGUUGACAGGGGUCCGAGCGUCGAAGGCCUCCUCCUCUCCUUUUCUUGUUCUCGCUUCGUUUCAUGGGGCUCCGUUUUUUUUUUUUUUUUUUUUUUUUUUUAGGUGCUGUGGCUAGAGCCGCUGGGUGUUUUUUCCUCCGGCGUUCUGUUGCUGGUUUCUUGGCUCCUUCCUUCCCGCAGUGGCCCUCUUGUCUCUUGCUUUUUGUGUUCGCUCUUGCAUCGGGAGAGCUCCUGGUUUUUUCUUUGUUGUGCUGGUGGUGUUGUUGAUUGUUGCGGCGGGGUUGACUUCUUCUGCUGUCUCCCGUGUGGCGGAUCUAAGAAGUGGCGGUUGUCGACGAAUCGAUUAGGCUCUGUGUUCUAAAGCUCUGAUUCCUGGAGUGUCGCGGCUGGAGCUGGUGCUUCCUUGCGUAUCAUUCCUUACGGUGCAGUUGGAGUUGCCGCACCUGAUUUCCGCGCUUAGACUUCAGUAGAGCAUUCGCCUAGUCGGUAGGAAUUAGAAGCUCUGAAAAUUUUGGAGUAUGCGGCUGGAAUUGCUGCUCAUCCUCGAGGUCAGUGCAGCGGCGUGUGGCGGGGAUUGCUUGUUCCAUUCCCCUUGUUGUUGUUCUCAAUUGCUGAGUGUUGCGGCAGUAGGCAGUACUCUUUGGUGGUAUGGACCUAGUCAUGGUCGUGGUUCGAGUUCAUCAAGUGGUUACGCUGGAUUUUUGUUCAAAAUUCACGUCUAAGUCUCCCUCCUCGUCAAUUGCAAUCUGCAAAGAAUGUUGCCUGUAAGGUUCAUUUUCUUCCUUCUCUUCUAUAGAAGUGGCUGGAGCUGCUAACCUUCAAUAGCUCUGGACUCUUUUAUUCUACGUGGGUGCGGCGGUACCGUCGGCACCAGUCAUGUGAGUUGCGUUGGGCAACAAAAUCCGACUAUCGGUUCUGCGCGGCAUUAUGAAAUUGUGGAGCGUUCGAUUUUUUGAGUUUGUGGUGGAGAGCGUUUGAUGAACUGGAGUGAAGCGGCAUGCUAGCCUAUCAGUGGCUGUAUGUCUCUGCAGUACUUGGAAGAUCCUUGGAUGUGGUGGAUUUGAUUCAGUACGCAAAAUUGGCUCUUUAGUCGCUUGAUCCAGCUGUUGUACAAAUCGGGCAUAGGCGGCAAGUGAGUAGUUGCUUCAAAGAGGGGUCAGUGGAUACAAGAUUGCGGACGAUCGAAGAGGCUGCCGCAAAUUAGCACAAUUGGGAUGCGACAAGAAUGCGAUAUUAGUGACAAAGGUGGAAUCCUACAGUAGGAGAAGCUGGGAAUCCAUCACCAGACGGUACGGCGGUUCCGGUUGUGUUCUUCCGCCCUCUCUCUGUUAUUCCAAGGCGCUGAUUUCUCGUGUAUGCAUUGGUGAGCGGAAGGGUUGUCCCAGUGCGGUUUCUUUUUUCCUUGCCCAGCUAUUGUUUUGAUUGCGGUGUCGCCAACCACUGAUGGCCCGGUGUGUUCUCUUCACGUUGAUGUUCGGAAGGUACCUUGAAGAGGCGCUGGUGUAGUUUUCCCGUCCGAACUCUUUGUUUUCUUUUUCCCCCUCUGAUCGGUUAUUACAGACCAUGUUCUUUUCCUUAUUGUGUUUUUUUCCUUUCUAUUGAUCUGUGCUCUUGCUGUUCACUCGCUGCCGAGCUUGUGGCUAAUCCCUUGUUUUCCGCUGAGUGCCUGGUUUUGUGCGUGUUCGGGUGCUUCUACGAACUACUGGUAUUAUUAAUCCUUGUUUGUCUCAGUUUUGGAAGUGCUGAUCAUUCCGCCGUUGUGGAGGUUGGGGGCAAUUGAAUUUUGGGUUCUGAUCCUCGCCGUUCUUAAUCUACCGCAACGUCGCUUCCAAGCUGCGGUGCAAGGGCUCUCUUGGUUUGUUUUCUCUGGUGACGCUGUGUAGAAGCGGAGAUCUGGAGCGUCAACCUUUGGUUCAGUAUGCUGCUCGAUGAUGUGCAGUGGUAUUGCUUUAAUUUGCACUCGGAGCGGCUGGUAGAUGUUGUACUGCUAUGGAGGAUUUCCAGCUUGACAUUCAGCUUAUUUCCUCGCAUCUAGCUGUUGCGGCGCAGAUGUUUUUGUUGCGCAAUCGUCAAGGAUUGAAAACUAGAAUUUGGGGUGGCGGAGGUCAUCGGGGUGGGGGAAGCUCUUGUUGCCAAUCACUCCUUAUUAUUCCUUCUUCUUGAUCAGAAUUCCGUCGAGGCUGUGCGGUGGUCGGUUGCUCUCCAACAAGUGCUACCCUGGUCCAUUUUUUUCUUCAUUCUUGACUCGGUCUGUAGUGGUCUCCAUACCAUACUUAUUAUAAUGGUUUUUAGUGUUUUAUUGGAUUAAUUUAGAGAAGUUAAAGAACUAUUUAACAAUACUUAAGUAAUAAUUACAAAUAAUAGAAUACAUAAGAUAAUUUAAUUGUUAUGAAUUAAAAUAAAUCCCUACUAUUUGGUAGUUUAUUCUAAUUGAAUUAUGGAGAUACUAUUCUUAUAUAGAUUAAAGAAAUCAUACUCAAAUUAAAUAUCUAUGCCAAGAAGUUGUGCAGUUGAGAGAAGUAAGUAGAUCAACUUCAUACUUGAAUCGAAGAAGACUUGCCACUACAAGUAAGAAGGAGGCAAGGAUCAAUAUGUCGAAGAAGUUUGAUAGAAUAAGAUCAAAAUUUUGAUAGUUUUUACAACAAUUCAAGAUCUAUUUAAGAUUGCAUCUUUUUUGAUAUCUUAAUGUAUUUAUUCAAGUUUGAUUAAUAGAUGCACUUCUAUAGAGGAGUGAUAUCUUUUGAUGUG
Non-coding RNA from Physcomitrium patens, 2803 nucleotides. Lineage: Eukaryota; Viridiplantae; Streptophyta; Bryopsida; Funariales; Funariaceae. The record is from RefSeq and is a predicted model, not a curated record.